This is a long non-coding RNA of Tachysurus fulvidraco (yellow catfish), 1093 nucleotides long. RefSeq lists it as uncharacterized. NCBI's taxonomy places the organism in Eukaryota, Metazoa, Chordata, Actinopteri, Siluriformes, Bagridae. The record is from RefSeq and is a predicted model, not a curated record. The transcript is spliced from 3 exons.
AGGCAAGAUAACGCAUACCUGAGAAUGGCACUAUGGAGUGUUUAUAGAGUGUGUUGUAACCCGAGUGCAGGAGAUUAAAUGCAGAUUUGACGCUGGUUCACAUCAGAUGGACUCGUACCGGUUGAGAAUGCACUGGCAUAUGGGCCUAGUGGAUGUGUGAAACACUGACACCAGCAGAGAAAAGCAGAAAGCCAGGCAUAUGCAUAUGUGACCCAUGUGAUUUCAACGUGUUUGCAUUUGCUCAGAGGCUAUAAAAUAUCAUCGUGUGUGAGCGAUUACAACCAUAAUGACCGAUGUACCCAAUGUGAUAGUGUAAUCUGUACACAAAGACACAAAUUCACAAAUAUUGCCCACAAAACUCUCAACGAAACCAAACUGGUGUGUGUGUGUGUGUACUCUGCAGGGAUGAGGACUGUGUCUCGGUCUCCCAAGAUGGCAGUGCGAAAACAAACAUUACUUUUGAUCACGGUGCUCCGAGCCUCACGCACACUGCUUUGGAGGAAGAUGUGCUUUACAGAUCUGCUUUGCUCUGCGCUACUACGACGUUUCUGACACAGAUUUGAUGCUGGUUCACAUCAGAUGGACUCGUACCAGUUGAGAAUGCACUGGCAUAUGGGCCUAGUGGAUCAGUGAAACACUGACACCAGCAGAAAGCCAGGCAUAUGGUGUGCCUUUUCAUUAUUAUUAUUAUUAUUAUUAUUAUUAUUAUUAUUAUUAUUAUUAUUAUUAUUAUUAUUAUUAUUAUUAUAAGCUGCAUCCAAAUAUUUAGCGUGUACAGUAAGCUAAAGUAUAUUUUCAUCAUUAACUAAUUUAACAAAACACACUAACACACACACAGUUAUCCCAGUGUUCAUUCGUGAACAUUCAUGUCUUGUAAGAAUGAUAUAAUAUAAAUAUAAUAACACUGUAUUAACACUACAUACAUCAAAGGUUGCUGAUACUUUCUAUGAAGCCUAUAUUCAUAAACCCCCUAUAACUCUGCAUAUAAUACAGUAAGCCAUUUUAUGAACUCUAAAAGCUCAAUGUGUGUAGUGAGUGAUCCCUGUAUAUCUAAGUAAAGCAACUCUGGUGUGGAUGUGUGUGUGUGUGUGUG